Molecule: ribosomal RNA, 492 nt
Filed under: uncultured bacterium
Lineage: Bacteria
Description: partial 16S ribosomal RNA
Rfam family: Bacterial small subunit ribosomal RNA
Source: RNAcentral
AGUGAACGCUGGCGGUAGGCCUAACACAUGCAAGUCGAACGGCAGCACAGUAAGAGCUUGCUCUUACGGGUGGCGAGUGGCGGACGGGUGAGGAAUACAUCGGAAUCUACUUUUUCGUUGGGGAUAACGUAGGGAAACUUACGCUAAUACCGCAUACGCCCUACGGGUGAAAGCAGGGGAUCUUCGGAACUUGCGCGAUUGAAUGAGCCGAGGUCGGAUUAGCUAGUUGGCGGGGUAAAGGCCCACCAAGGCGACGAUCCGUAGCUGGUCUGAGAGGAUGGUCAGCCACACUGGAACUGAGACACGGUCCAGACUACUACGGGAGGCAGCAGUGGGGUAUAUUGGACAAUGGGCGCAAGCCUGAUCCAGCCAUACCGCGUGGGUGAAGAAGGCCUUCGGGUUGUAAAGCCCUUUUGUUGGGAAAGAAAAGCAGCAGGUUAAUACCCCGCUGUUCUGACGGUACCCAAAGAAUAAGCACCGGCUAACUUCGUG